AUGGCUAGCAACCAGCUGCAAGUGAUCUGCCGCUUCCUCGACCUGCAUCGGCGCCGCUUCCUCGAUCUGUCCCGGCGCCGUUUGGAUCGUUGCGGCAACGGCUUCGUCGGUCUUCAGCUCCGCCACCUACAUCCUGAAGGAGUACGAUCUCGUGGCUGGAUGGCGACGGACAUGUUGACCAUAUACCUGCACUAUGAAGAUACAAAUCAGGAAGCCAAAAUUUUACAAAGAUCCAUGAUGAGACAUGAUGUCUCGAAAACCUCCAAUCAAAUGAUAAUGGUAUUUCUCGGUCACCAGUACUGCUUGGUAAAACAAAGUUUGCAGAGAAUCCAGUGCAAUGGACCCGUUGAGGCACGCUCGUCUAUGCAACAUGACAUUCCUGAGGAUAAUAAUUUAUCAUGUUCGCAUGAAAAGGUUGGCGACCAUGAUGUCAACCAAUUACAAAUUCAACAAAAUUCAUCAUCACCACAAGACCUUGUUAUUGAUUCUGUGCUAGAGGUGAGGGAAAUGAGGAAUAUUACGGGUGAAUCUGUUUCAAGACUGAACCAGCAAAGGACUAGAACUGAACACCCACACCGCUCAAAAAGAAGGCGUUCUUCUUCCAUCAAGGCUGCUUCCAAAGUAGUCUUAAAGACUUCAACAUAUCCCAACAAGCGGAAUGUUGCGUAUGGUACUAUUCGGAGUACUGAUCCAAGAACUAAGGCUGGUGGUAUUGAGUUAGGUGCUGAAUUUGCUCUUGUGCGCAUAGACGAACCUAUUCUUGAUAAUGAGGAGUUGGUAAGGGAAGUUUCUGAUUGCAAGACAAUUGGCGAGGCUUUCACUUCAGGAUACUUAAUUGCCUGGCCUUCAGCUUUUAUUCGAGAGAAGGAUGGUUGA
RNAcentral lists this ribosomal RNA (876 nucleotides) under Triticum aestivum (bread wheat). RNAcentral's name for it is "partial small subunit ribosomal RNA". The record is from RNAcentral. Lineage: Eukaryota; Viridiplantae; Streptophyta; Magnoliopsida; Poales; Poaceae.